UCUGGAGGCUCGGAUUGGUGUGAAAGGGACGGGAAGGUCACUUGAAAUCGCUUUUUAUCCCAUUGCCCCCCCACCCCCCCAUGGAUCAGCAACUUUCAAUAGACAUAAUCUAAUUGCUCGUAAUGGAAAGACGAUUCGUGAGAAAUAGUUGGAAUAUAUAAAAUCAGUAAUAGCAUAUGGGCUUCAACUAUUUGGAGACGUAAACAAUUAACAGGACAGAGUCCACAUGAUAAAUCAUUUGCUAAUUAUUAAUGAAAAGUAUACAUAUAUACAUAUAUUAAAAGUGAUUCCCAAAACAAAGAAAAAGUUUCAUUUUCAGUUUAAAACCAGAUGCCAACAACAAAGGAUGUGCACGACUUUAAGUUUAUUAACAACAACCGUGAUCAUUUCUUGCAUGCUUUUAUCUUAAUAUUAUGCCGCUUUAGUUUGCAUGGAAAUAAAUGUUUAUUUUCUCAUUAUAUUUACUGUAGAUGUGUGUGUGCAGAGAUGCGCUCCUUCAGUUUAACGUGUCAUGAAUUGAAGUCUCUUUCCAGGGAUUUCGAAUCCCAGACUAUAAUUGAGGACAAUAACUGCAACGACUUUCCCAAUUAGACUUUAGGUUGGUUAGGUUAGAGGGGCUGUCAGUUUAUGCUAUGGGCAAUGGCUUUAUUGCUCACUAACCAUCAUUUCUUUAGAGCCUAUGUGCUAAUUACUCUGGAUGGUCCCAGAGACGGAGAUUAUAAAUCCAUUAGCACUGAAACCCUCGUGGUUCCACAGUGCAAACACUGUAAUUUUGUAGUACACCAAAAAACCAAACUUUAAGUACCAGGAGCUAGAUGAAGGGAAACAGAUUUUUCAACAGCGUGUGUAGGCUACUUCUUAGGAAACCAGUGUGGAAGGAAGCCUAGCGUAUAUCAAUCAGUAGCUAAGCCCAAUACACAGGGAAAAACUAACAGAAAAUUAACUGACAUGGGAAAAUGUUUUAUCAGAAGGGCUUGUGACUGUCAGUGCCCGGAGGGUUUGCCUUAAAAGCGACCUGCUUAUAUUACUGUGUCAACUUAAUGCAACACUGUAAUCAGAAAUGCUCAACACAACGCAAUUUUAAUAUUGUGAGGACUAUUUUCAUGCAAGUUUGGGAAAUAAUUUAGUCUCAUUCCCCAAGUGCCUGUCAAAUAUCCAGGGAGAGAUGCAGCCCUGAGCAACAAAGUGAAUUAGAACGGGACUUAAUACCUGCUUGGCUGAGUUUAAAGAGGGCAACGCAAAAAAAAAAAAAAAAAAAAAAAAAAAAAAAAAGACCUAACCGGGGGUUCGUGAAGGCAUCUCACCCUUAAGGUAAUUUAUUUCAGGGAAACCGGGGGGCCAAAGGUGGAAUUCUUGAGAAAUUCAACAAGGAUAAGGGAGCUUUAGGAAUUCUGCACGCAGAUUACCUUUCAUCCCAUCCUCACAUUAUCCUACAACACACUGUAGAAAUAUAGCCCAGCGACAGAAGAGCGAGAUUACUCUCCGACACAGAAGAGUGCAAAACCUUCUUUCUUUUUUUAAGUAUUGCGAUUACUUCGGAAGCGAACAAGAAGCGAGAGACAGACGAGGAGAGAAAAGGAAGAGGGGGGUCAACACAGCGGAGGAGUGUUUUCCUGUGCGCUUAAUGUUCAGAUUGUCCUGUCACUGCCAUAGCGGUGUAGUGGGUGACGGACUCACCUAUGAGAGUUAGCUCCCAUUUCAAAAUAUUUAUGGCAGCCAAUUUCACAUCAGAAAGCAUCUACGAAUCUAAUUAGUUCGCUUCUGGUAACUUUAACACACUGAUGUUUACAUUGUGGGCUAUGGUGCCUUGCGCUGACUGAUGACCUUUGGUGAUACUUUGCCAUAGUUUUCCCAUCCCUUCCUUUGAAUCUGAAUGAGUGGCAUGAUAUAAGCACUGCACUAUUUUCCUCUCAUUUUUUCCUGAAAAAAAAAAAAAAAAAUCAACACACAGCAGGGGAUUAAUUAGAAAUGUAGUGUAGCUGAACCAUGAGCGACUGAGCACGCUGCUGCAGUCUAGUUUACAUCAGUACAGAGGAAAUCAUUUCCCAGUAAUUCUCUGAGGCAGUUUGAGUGAGAGGCAUAUUCGUGCACAUUUACCAGCUUUAAAAAUAUUUCGUGCCAUAAAUUGAUCUAUACUGUAUGAGAAAUAUGUCUUAACAUGUAGAUAUUAUCAUGUCACACAAUUUCUAAGUCGUGCAACUAUUAAAAAUAUUUAAAACAAAAGACACACACUAACUAAUUCUUUCUCUCUCUCCCUCUCACCCACACACACACACACGCAUGCCGACGUUUUCAUUUUAAAGGAGUGUGUUUUAGUGUGCGUGAGGGCACAUGUGUGUUAAAAAGACAGCAAAGUGAAGGUGUGAAGAUGGCCUGUGUUUAGUGUCCAGACCUGGCAGAUUGUGACCUUAUCAAUGUGAAACUCUUAAGAUAAAUUAUUCAUAGCACCUGUUUGAUGUCUCCGGCCAAAGAAUGACAAAGGUGUGUGAUUUAAAAUGCAUCUCAAAGCCAUGAAUAUUAGCUACUGCACUACCUCUCUCUCUCUCUCUCUCUCUCUUUAAAGCUGAAUAAAAGAGAAACAGGGAAGAAGGCUGCAUUUUAAACAACAACAAAAAUGAACAAUUUGUUUCCCUAACAGGGGCACAGAAGUGUCUGGAAGUGUAGUCACAUUAAGUGAGUUGCUGCUUCGCUUUAUUUGUAGAUGAAUUAAUAAUAAUAAUAAUUAAAAAAUGCUCUCAAACAUGACUGAGUUCCGCCGUUUUCAGUAUGCAAGGCGUAGUUGCCAUCAGCCUAUUGUUUUAAUUUCAUAUGACUCACAGGUGUCUGCUGUUUAUGUGGGUCACCGAAACGGGCCACACACAUUGUCAUUUCCUGCUAUGUCCUCACUUUAAUUUGAAACUUGGAGGAGAGAGUUUGUUUGAGUGAUUCCGUGUGGUUAACCUUGCCCUUUGCAACUAAGUUUGUGUUGUUUGUCACCUCACAGGCAAAGAGGAACACGGUGGCCUGCCGCUUGGACACACAGUGGGACAUGUUGGUGUGGUGAAGGGCUGACACUCGGAUGAGAUGUAAUUUAUGGCAAGUGUUGUGUGGUCAUAGGACAGUGACAGUGACACGUCUGCUUAGAAGCACGAGAAUUGCGACCACUUGCCACAAAGAGCGAAUGCUACCACCUGUGUCUUGAGGAAGAAAGGAGGCAACCACCCGCAUUCUUUUUACCAGGAGCUGGUAAAGGUAAGUGGAGCCCCCUGUUAAAAUAAGGCAACAAAUAAAGGUUUUGUUGUAGUGUUUUUGCAUAAACUGUCAUUUUUUUAAUGCAAUGAACGUCACCACCCUUCAUCAGCUACAAAAGUCACUGUUAUAUGAACACACACAGUCACCAUCGAUGACUGUGCAGGCACAGUUGUUGCAAAGGAGCCUCGAGACCAACAAAGCUGGCUGAGACGGUAGCGCCGAAUGGAUCACGCUCUUGAAUUUGAUUUCAUAAUGAUGUAAGAUUACUAAGAGGCAAUGCAACACAGCAAAGAUCUUAAUAAAAAACACAUCAAUCUUGA
This is a long non-coding RNA of Oreochromis niloticus (Nile tilapia), 3551 nucleotides long. RefSeq lists it as uncharacterized. Lineage: Eukaryota; Metazoa; Chordata; Actinopteri; Cichliformes; Cichlidae. The transcript is spliced from 2 exons. The record is from RefSeq and is a predicted model, not a curated record.